RNAcentral lists this ribosomal RNA (253 nucleotides) under uncultured bacterium. Its description in RNAcentral is "partial 16S ribosomal RNA". It matches the Rfam family "Bacterial small subunit ribosomal RNA", at positions 524 to 776 of the family's 1533-position model. The record is from RNAcentral.
UACGUAUGUCCCGAGCGUUAUCCGGAUUUAUUGGGCGUAAAGCGCGCGCAGACGGUUAAUUAAGUCUGAUGUGAAAGCCCGGAGCUCAACUCCGGAAAGGCAUUGGAAACUGGUUAACUUGAGUGCAGUAGAGGUAAGUGGAACUCCAUGUGUAGCGGUGAAAUGCGUAGAUAUAUGGAAGAACACCAGUGGCGAAGGCGGCUUCCUGGACAACAACUGACGUUGAGGCUCGAAAGUGUGGGUAGCAAACAGG